Molecule: ribosomal RNA, 253 nt
Filed under: uncultured bacterium
Lineage: Bacteria
Description: partial 16S ribosomal RNA
Rfam family: Bacterial small subunit ribosomal RNA
Source: RNAcentral
UACGAAGGGGGCUAGCGUUGCUCGGAUUGACUGGGCGUAAAGGGCGCGUAGGCGGUGCGGUAAGUCACCUGUGAAAACUCUGGGCUCAACUCAGAGCCUGCAGGCGAAACUGCCGUGCUUGAGUGUGGGAGAGGUGCGUGGAAUUCCCGGUGUAGCGGUGAAAUUCGUAGAUAUCGGGAGGAACACCAGUGGCGAAGGCGGCGAUCUGGGUCGAUACUGACGCUGAGGUGCGAAAGCGUGGGGAGCAAACAGG